AUGCAGGAACAGAGACCUAUGGAGCUGAUUGACUCACCCAAAGCCCUGGAGCUAGUAAUUCAUGAAGGUGGUACUCAAAUCUUGCAUUCCGACUCUUGGACCAGGAAAUUUCUCUCCACACCCUACUGCUUCUGAAGAUUAAUUUGCAGUUAUAUGAAGACAUUUCUCUUCAGCCAUAUGACAUCAUGGGAAAAAUCUGGUCAGAGGAACCACGUUUGAGAAGAUCUUGCCCAAGUCCCUUGAAGAUGAUCAGAGCCUAAUUUUCCAAUCUGUAAAUUGGGGAUCAAAACCACCUUCCUCACAAGAAAGCAGAGUGGAAUACGUUAUAUUCAAGACCACCACUAGUGCAAAUUUUUCCCAGGGUAGUUUGAAUUCGGUGGAUCAUUCAACGUGGCCUCUUACUAGCAACAUUAGCAGUGGAUUUUGUACAUUUAGAUGCCAUGAUGAACAAACCAACAUGAGAUUAAAUCAAGCACAAGAGAAACUGAUGCAAUCAAGAGAUGGAGUAAACACAAGCUGUAUGAGGCUGUUGCCAGCGUAAACCAGCGUACUGUUACUGCAAAAGUCAGACAGACUGACUUGGAAAACUAAGGAAUGAAGAUGGAGGAAAGAUGUAAAAGCGUUGGAGUGAGAAUCAUGAAAAAGGGCUCAAGUCUUGGAUAUCUUUCCAGUGAUUUCUGUGGUCUUGGGCAAGAUCUACUCUGGACCUCUUCUUAUGUAAAAUGGAAAUUUUGAACUAGGUUUAUCGCCUGCUGGCUGCAUCAGCUUCAAGAAGCAAGAGCUUAUGCAUUUGCAUUCAAGGCAGGAUGAAUGGGCCAAGCCAAUUAAACAGAGGGCUUUUCUUUA
RNAcentral lists this long non-coding RNA (846 nucleotides) under Equus caballus (horse). RNAcentral's name for it is "lncRNA (ENSECAG00000058839.1)". The record is from RNAcentral. Lineage: Eukaryota; Metazoa; Chordata; Mammalia; Perissodactyla; Equidae.